AGAGAGAGAAAGAGAGGAAGAACAAAGGGAAAAACAAGAAAACCUAGGUGGAAAAUUUAAAGAAAAAGUGAAGAAAUCAAGGAAACAAGCAAGGUAAGUUAGAAUUUCUUUAGUUCUCCUUGAUACCUAGCUUACCCAUGCUUUUGUUCUUGAUUUCCAUGGUUGAAUAUUGAGUUAUUAUGAUGAAUUUAAUUCUGAAAAAAUGGGUUAGGAGAGAGAAACUUGUUAGAUUAAUUUAAUUUUAAGUUAUGUUAGUGUUUUAAGUUAGUUUAGCAUAUUUAGAAACAAAACAACAAGAAAAGAACUUAUUUUCUCCCACAAUCAUUAAUGGCCGAAUUUAUUAUGUGUUGAGUGAGGAUAAAUUUGAUUUUCAUUUUAGGAGAAUUGGUUAAGAAAUGAUGAAUUAUGAGCCUAGAAAAAAUAAUGGAAAUUUUCGGAGCAAAAAAUACGAUUUUUACCCACUAGGGGUAUUUUCGUAAUUUACUAUCGAGACUGAUAAAUUGAAUCUCAUUCACAGUCAUUAAGGUAAUUUAGUUAUAAUUGGAGUGUAGAAAGUGAGAAGAAUUGAUUUGGAGUUAAAUUGGAGAUAAUAGGCCGAAUUAGGUCAACACCGCAUUUAAGCGGUAGUCGGAUAAGUUGUAUAUCAUAUCAUGCAUAUAUACCGAGCCUGAAUUGAUUUUAUAAUGGUCAAGCAUUGAUGUGGUGAAUUAUGUAUUGUACAUUGUGGAUAGGUGGUGAGCAAAGUACACUGGUAAAAGUACAGAGAUUGUGCUUGGAGACUGGGAUUAGGAGUACAUCGACUCCUAGAACUGUGAGUGAACUUAUUAUCGUCUUAAUUAUCUAGAGUAGUUUUAUACAAUUGUGUGAUUUUAUGAAAAAUGGGUUUAAAU
This 890-nucleotide long non-coding RNA is filed under the name Theobroma cacao (cacao). Its description in RNAcentral is "long non-coding RNA (TCAC_LNC003766)". The record is from RNAcentral. Lineage: Eukaryota; Viridiplantae; Streptophyta; Magnoliopsida; Malvales; Malvaceae.